Long non-coding RNA from Cyanistes caeruleus (blue tit), 901 nucleotides. RefSeq lists it as uncharacterized. Lineage: Eukaryota; Metazoa; Chordata; Aves; Passeriformes; Paridae. The record is from RefSeq and is a predicted model, not a curated record.
UGCAAUCAUUUCCCUAACAAAAGGGCUCAGUGCUGUCAGAUGGUACAUAGCUUGGGGGCUGUAUUCUUAUCUAGACUUAGGCAGGAAACCAUUUGAUUUACAACUGGAUGUAAGGAAUAGGGACUGCUUGCCUCAUCUGCACAGUAGAUUACUGGCAUGUAUUUCCCUUAGGUUACAAACCUAAAGGAUCUCACAUCGGCAAGAGAUGGCAGUGUGUGUUGCUGGCUAAACCAGUUAGGAUGCUGAGAACAUGGCAGACAGAUGCUCCAGAGUCUGUAAAUUCAAGGCAAAAUUAAAAAAUCUGCCUGGAAAGCUCUGAGCAACUCAGCUGGUGGCAAACUCCUUUCUGCCCCUUGAGAACACUUAGGAUGCUCCACAGAAUUAGAAGUCCCUAACUUCCCACAGCUGAGGGAACACCCAGAACAAGAGGCUUUGGUUAUAUAGAGGGAUAUUAAGCAGACCUGCUCUUCUUGAGGCAGGUCAUGGUAUGGUCUUGAUUUCCUUCAGGCUUGCCCUAAGACUGCAGCCUUAAACCCAAGGGUUUAUGACAGGAGAGCUGUGCUGUUCUCCUGCAUCCCUUCUGGAGCUCCACUGGAUUUGGUUGUGACCUUGAAGUUUGGGGCUGUGAUCUUCCUGGUGAUAACCUCAUCAUCUCGCCUUGGCCUGUCCCUAAAGGGUCUGUUCCAGGGACACAUUUUCUCAGCCAUCCCCUCCUUGCACACAGACUUGUUGUUCCAAGUUUUUACUUCGUUCUUGAAGGUGGAGGUACAGAGAGCCGAUGUAUGGAAUAUUUUUCUCCUCCAAUGUCUUCGUGGAUCUUCCCCCAAGCCGUAUGUUGGUGUUUCCCAGCUGCCCGGGUUUCUCAUGCAGAUGAGCCCUGCAAAACGGUUUCCUCCUGCAC